AAUUCCAAGUUAAGGAAGAAAGGGAAGAGAAAGGGGACGGGAGCGUGCUGGAUGACGUGAUGACGUCAUCGGUCGGCGUUGCAUGAGUUUGUGUACUGAACAUCUGGAAAGAAGACAAAUAAAUGUGAAUAUAGCACUUCUGGUUGCUGACAUAUGAAUACGAGUUCUUCCAUUCCUGAUUCCUUUUUUAGAAGAUCCACAUGAUACUGCACCUUGGAGGAUGUUACUCGCCCAUGCUCAUCUAAUUCCUCAAUUAUUGUUUUAAUCACUGUAGUUCUCUUUGUUUCUGAAACAAACAAAAGAAGAGUACAGAUGGUAUCAUUCAACACCUCCAUCCACAAUUAUCAUCAUUUACCUCCCUGUUAACUAAGGACUUUUCUUCACAGCCAUUUAGUGGCUGAAGGGCGAGGUGUGGCAAGUGUAAAUGAAUGGGAGUGAAAAUGCUGAACAUCACCUGUUUAUCAAACCAGUCCUUGGCCUCUUGGCGGUUCUUUUCAGCAAUGACUUCAUACUGCUGGCGCAUGUUAUCCAUCAUCUGGCCCAGAUCAAUGC
Molecule: long non-coding RNA, 552 nt
Organism: Anolis carolinensis (green anole)
Lineage: Eukaryota; Metazoa; Chordata; Lepidosauria; Squamata; Anolidae
Exons: 5
Source: RefSeq, a predicted model, not a curated record